RNAcentral lists this microRNA precursor (110 nucleotides) under Brugia malayi. Its description in RNAcentral is "microRNA bma-mir-9515 precursor". Lineage: Eukaryota; Metazoa; Nematoda; Chromadorea; Rhabditida; Onchocercidae. The record is from miRBase by way of RNAcentral.
CUUUAAGUAUGUUUGUUUUACGUUGCACCAUUAUGCUGUAUGAAAUUAGAUGAUUUCAUACAGCAUAAUGGUGUUUUAAUGUUUCAGGAAUUACGAAAACGAUUUCAAGA